GUAAGCAGAAUAGUUUCUGAGCCUCCAGCAGUAGGAGUUUGGGGACUUUGACGUCAGAGCUAGGAUACUUCCCGCACCAGGUCCUCUCUGGAGAGAAUCUGAUUGCUUCAUCCUCGGGCAGGUGUCCACCUCCUGCCCACUUAGCUGUGGCUAAGGGGUCGAGUGGCAGAGGGGAUCUUGGCAGCACCUCCCAGCAUCCACUCGAUCAACGCACUGCACUGCCUGCUCUUCCUCGUCAUAGAGUCUGUGUCUCGAAGACUUUGGGCUCCGCGACAGCUCCCUUUUUCAAGUCUCAAAUAUGCCUGGAUUGGUGGGGAGGGGUAUCUACAGCUUAGAUUUCAUUAUCAGUUAAUUAGCAGCUGGUUUAACUGUCAGCCCCUCCUGGGGUCUUUUGCUAGCAUCAGAGAACACUAAUGGGACAGACGACAUCAAGACUGGAUGGGACAAGUGACAAGAGGUCUACCAUGAAGCAGAAGGAGAAGCUGAGAGGGAGGGAAAGUCACAUUCCUCUUUUCCUCCCUGAGCUCAAGGCAGAUUCUGCCUGGGGUGAGGGUAGGAGAGAACAGGGCAAUGUGGGGGUUUUAAGUCAGACUUUGCCAACCUCACAAUUUUGCCCAAGGCCAAUCCUACCUCAGACAUCCCCUCUUCCUCUUGUUUGAACUUCUAAUUUUCUGUUUGCCAAGAUGGCUGCCUGUUCAGAUGAAUGAAAGAUCACAGUUUGAUCUGACCCAGAG
RNAcentral lists this long non-coding RNA (734 nucleotides) under Equus caballus (horse). RNAcentral describes it as "lncRNA (ENSECAG00000044275.1)". The record is from RNAcentral. Lineage: Eukaryota; Metazoa; Chordata; Mammalia; Perissodactyla; Equidae.